RNAcentral lists this ribosomal RNA (727 nucleotides) under uncultured Bacillus sp. RNAcentral describes it as "bacterial SSU rRNA". It matches the Rfam family "Bacterial small subunit ribosomal RNA", at positions 45 to 755 of the family's 1533-position model. The record is from RNAcentral. Lineage: Bacteria; Bacillati; Bacillota; Bacilli; Caryophanales; Bacillaceae.
UGCCUAAUACAUGCAAGUCGAGCGGACAGAAGGGAGCUUGCUCCCGGAUGUUAGCGGCGGACGGGUGAGUAACACGUGGGUAACCUGCCUGUAAGACUGGGAUAACUCCGGGAAACCGGAGCUAAUACCGGAUAGUUCCUUGAACCGCAUGGUUCAAGGAUGAAAGACGGUUUCGGCUGUCACUUACAGAUGGACCCGCGGCGCAUUAGCUAGUUGGUGGGGUAAUGGCUCACCAAGGCAACGAUGCGUAGCCGACCUGAGAGGGUGAUCGGCCACACUGGGACUGAGACACGGCCCAGACUCCUACGGGAGGCAGCAGUAGGGAAUCUUCCGCAAUGGACGAAAGUCUGACGGAGCAACGCCGCGUGAGUGAUGAAGGUUUUCGGAUCGUAAAGCUCUGUUGUUAGGGAAGAACAAGUGCGAGAGUAACUGCUCGCACCUUGACGGUACCUAACCAGAAAGCCACGGCUAACUACGUGCCAGCAGCCGCGGUAAUACGUAGGUGGCAAGCGUUGUCCGGAAUUAUUGGGCGUAAAGGGCUCGCAGGCGGUUUCUUAAGUCUGAUGUGAAAGCCCCCGGCUCAACCGGGGAGGGUCAUUGGAAACUGGGAAACUUGAGUGCAGAAGAGGAGAGUGGAAUUCCACGUGUAGCGGUGAAAUGCGUAGAGAUGUGGAGGAACACCAGUGGCGAAGGCGACUCUCUGGUCUGUAACUGACGCUGAGGAGCG